UUCCCAGGCACUGCAGGGGAACCAGAGGAGAUCAGUUAUGUAUCUUAGAUGUGAUCCAUAUUUCAUGCUAAGGCUGGGAAUUCACAUGAUUAGGAAAGAUCAAAUGGAGUUUAAGUCCAUGUGGUCCAACCGACUCUACAGGGGUUAGAAACAAGUGAGCAGGUACUGGAAAAAGAACAACCAGAGCAAAGAACAACCAGUGACAACACACUCAAGUAUUCAGGGCUGAAACUUUUAGGGUCACGAGGACAGCCAACUAUUUGGCUUCUGAGAAAAAGAGGAGAGAAGGAGCUGGCAUGAGGCGAGGAGGAGGGGAGAGGGGAUGUUUGGGGGGACAGGGAUGUUUGAGUCACAGCGACAUGGAACUGGAAUUUAGAAAAUGUACCCUGUCAGAUUUGAGAGCUGUUGCAUCAGAUUAGGAAUAUAACAUUUUCUAAGUGUGUGUGUGUGUGUGUGUGUGUGUGUGUGUGUGUGGUGAGAAAAGCAGAGAAGAAGAAUUUUGUCUUCCCACGUGGAAUCUGACACAUGAUAUGAAGCGGACUGCGACCUUUUUAUUGGCAAAGAUUUAAAAGCACAAACACUGAGCUUAGACUUAGUGCAGGCAGGUAUAACUGCUCAUACUCUUCAGUGCAGUGUUUAAGUCUUCAGUCAGUGCUGCCUCUGCAAGCCACUUUGCAACUCAUCUCCUCAUCAGCUCUGCAGUCUCAUUUUUUCCCUCUACAUCAGCACAUAUAAACAUAUAAAAUCAUUUCUAUACACGACUGGCUAAAAUGAAUCCUGUCAUCCGGUUUGAUUUUAUUUCGUUUCUCCUUCAGUGAGGAAACACCGAGUGUGGACGUGAGAACAUGAAAGGCCAGUUUAAAGGGGAUGACUGAUAAUACCCACUCAGGUGGUGAGUGAUAACGCCCUGUGGCUUCACUCUGUGGGUGAUGGCAUGAAUAACUGUGCUGACAUUCAUGCUCACUUUCUCCUCCAGUCUAAUCAAGUACAAACAAAGUGACACAAACACACUCAGCAACGAACAUUUGAAACAUGUUUACUGCAAUUGCCCCAGUUUUAUAAAACAUUUCAGACAGAACAAUUAACUGAUUUCUCUAAAAUGUAAGGAGCUGAUAAUCUAAUAAAACUAAUAUGUAGUUGUGGCUAUAGAAACUGAGGCUGAGCACGGUGCAGCCUGUAAGACCAGGAAAAAUGUGUGCAGGGUGAGGAAGGAGGAAGCAUCACUGGAGUAAACAAAUUCUCUUCCCACAUCCUCAUGCAGAUUAGAGCCCCGCAGAGCUCAGCCCCCAAAAAUGAAUAAUACUGGAUUGUUAUUAUUUAUCUGGGCUCGACUACCAACACACACGGGAUGUGAAUAUGGGAAAUCAGUUAAUCAGUUUAGCAUCAAGUACAUUAAACCUCUGUGAUAUUGAUAUUGGUCAGGUAUCAGAGGGGGUUAUUAAUCAGUUUCAGCUGCUUUGGUUUUAAUGAAGUUAACAUUAGGUGCACUAGAGGGGCAACCAUGAGACAACCCCCCAAACAGGAACAGUUUUCAGGUGGAGGACACUCAUUUUUCCCUCCUCGUCUUUUCUGACUGUUUUUCACAUGUGUUGUAUUUAGCUCAGGGUCAGGGUCACUGCUGGACCCACUGUCAGACCCUACGCUGGUGCAGUGGGUCCUGGGUUCCACGGCAAUGCCUGGUGAUGAAGGAGGAUGAAGGAACUGAUACCACUGACUGCCCCCCCCUGACCUAAAUCCAACAGAACAGCUCUGGAACAUUAUGUUUGGUCCAUCUGAUGCUGCCAGGCUGCACCUCAGACCGUCCAGGAGCUCAGCAUCGUCUCAUUAGAAGGGUGUCCUUGAAUUCAGCCCUCUGGAGGCUCACGAACGAUAUGGGAUCCUUUCAUUCCUCACACGUUACCUGGUAUCAGUGCAGAUUUGCAGCAUUGAGAUCUGAUGGGUUUUCAAAGGGUUCCCUUCAUUUUUUGGACCAGUGUUUAACAAAUUUCUUAAACCACCACCCAAUGUAAGGUCUAUGCCACAGCUGCCCUAAAUUCACAGUACUGGUAAUUACCAGCAUCAUGCUUAUGUUUCUGUAAUGGUUAAUCUACCAGUAUACACAAAGUUAAUCAAAGUCAUAUCUGUAAUGCUAAAAUAUAAUUAGUGAUAUCCAUGAAUUCACAAAUUUAGUGCUUCACAGAAAAAGAAGUCAGUUGUUGUAUUUAAUCACUGACUGCUCACAGCUCAGCUCUGCUGCAGACAGCAUUAUAAACAGUGGAGAUGACACCAAACCCAACAGUUUAUCCUGCAGGACAAACUGCACAACAUAUACAACAUAUACGCGAUACCAAAAUAUGUGUGCGAUAAUAUCAGCUGAACCGUAUACCUGAGUCAGGCCCUCCUCUUCUGACAUAAAGAUUGAACAUAAAGAUUUAUGUGGUUUCCUUUCAUGAAUCAUUACCGCCAAUCAUUUUAGACACUUGUUUCUUUGACAGCCUUAUUUAUUAUAGUCACACACAUCUCAGGGAUUUAGUUUUGAUAACACUUAAGAAUGAAAAGCCAGUGAAGUGUGUCUCUGCAAAAGCAUCUCUGCUUACAGAACAUAUUUACUCAGAAAUAUAAACCUUAAAAUGAUUCUUUAAGCAGCAGCAAUGCUUCAUUAUCACACAUAACGAAAAGCUAAUUAGUGCUUUCACAUUAGAGAAGGGACAUUAGAGACGUGUGGUUACAAAGCAGAGGCAGGAUUUUAAAGGCACAUUCCUCAAGUGCUAAUAGGCUCAAUUGAAGUAAUUUAAAACACAGGUAUGUUGACGCCUUGGAAACUCUCCCAGCAGCCCAUUAAUCCACCAGCAGCAGGUUAACCAUUCAGAUCGGAGGCACGCACACACGCAGACACACACACACACACACACUGAAACACUGCACUGCCUUCUGAGGAAUGCUAACUGCAACAAAGCAGGGAAACAACACUUAUCACAGUCGGUGUUUAUGUGAUUUUUUUCCUCUCCUUUCCAUCCCGUCCUCUCUGCCUUCAUUCCUCGCUCCGUCUCCCUUUCUUUGUGUCUCGGCCCCAUUUAUUACCAGUUUUGUAGUACAGUAUGCUCAAUACAUAAACAAAUACAGCUGCUGCACUUCAUCAAGCCUUUGAUUAGUCUUGUUGACUGCACCACAGCCCACGAGAACACAAGAGAAACUGAGAAAUACGCCACAAACUCCCCCAGGAGAACCGUUUCUGGAAACUCAGUAUUGUUUGUAAGGAGGUGGGAGUCGCCAUUAUGUGUUUCUGCUGCGUUUAUGCUUUGUUUUUCUAUGGAGAUCAUAAAUUCUCCAGGCUGUAAAUUGGAACAGUUUACAGUUAUACAAUAAAGGACUUAUUAUUGGACAGAAUGAGAGAAGCAUUUGUAUCCAGCAGAGUGACUUUGCAAGUGGGAUAUUCAAAGCGCAUUAGAGUGAGUGUGUGUGUGUGUGUGAGAGAGAGUGUGAGAAAGAGACAGCUGUACUGUAUGUUGUACAUGUUUACUGUACUAAUGCCUGUUUUUAUCCCAUCUGAGCAUUUCUGCAGCUUCGUGGCGGCUGUGUCACAAUGUGACUGUGACAGAGAUCAAUGUCUGAGCCCAGGGCCCUGGGAUAGUGACUAACCAUCUAAUUAGAGGGAACAGGCAGGAGCCAAAGCUUUAAAUGAAUAAUUAGUGCUCUCAGAGUCCACGCAGAACAAUGCAGAGACGAGAUGAAAAAUGACCACAUCCCACAUCACUCACAACACCAAACUGUGUGUCCUGAGGAGCUUCAUGAGACCUGAUACGAGGGUAGCUGUGAGUGAUGCCUGAACCUGCCUCAGUAUGCUGGCUGGGAGAGCUGGCUGCGGUGAAAGCUGGUACGAGACCACCUUAGGGAAAUAUUCUGCCUCUAAAAACAAUGACAGAGUGAGAGAAAUACAGCAGCGGCAGAAACCCGAAGGCAUCCCCGGUUCAGGCAACCACAGCAGCCACGAGGCCGGGCUGUGGUGCUUCACUCUGGGCUUCCAAACCACAUGUCCAACUCGUCUUGACCUCUUGCUUAUUUUGAUUCGCACUUGUCUUCGUCUCAGACACUCAUUCAACCAUUUACUUUAAUUUUUCUGUCAUUCAUAACAUACUAAAUAAAAACUUUUCCAACCUAAUCCCUUUUUCCCAGCACUUGAAUUUAAGGAACACCACCAAUCUGUAAUCAUCUGGUGUUGGAUGGUGUUAGAUGGUGACACAAUGGGUGUUACUCAGGAAAAAAAAACAGACAUGCCUCCAUUAAACACGUCUCAAGACCUUGGUGAGA
This is a long non-coding RNA of Archocentrus centrarchus (flier cichlid), 4287 nucleotides long. RefSeq lists it as uncharacterized. The record is from RefSeq and is a predicted model, not a curated record. Lineage: Eukaryota; Metazoa; Chordata; Actinopteri; Cichliformes; Cichlidae. The transcript is spliced from 3 exons.